UAUGAUGCUCGCUUUCCUGAGAAGCAGAGAGCAUCAGUCCACAAGAAAGAGAAAAGGAAACCUUGCGAGGACACACCUGGAUCCAUUUUACAGGAAGAUGAUAAAAGAUUCACAGCUGCUGCCCGUGCUGGGGAUCAGCAGCUGCCAGCUGAAUUCCUGGUGGCCCUGCUGAGCAACCAGUGUGCUGAAUCUAUUAUUUAGAGGCAAAAAGUUCAGCCUAGCAUAUAAUCAUUGAAAGCUGUCAACUUCCAGCCUAUCCUGGGCUUCCUCUGCAUGAAGGAUCCUUCCCUGCGAACCACGGCCUCCUCACCAACUUCACAUCACAAAAUGAAAACGAGCAGCAAUCCAUUAUGCGUCAGGUACCUCCAGAGAGCUGCUCACCCUACAGUGCUCUUCUGCGUCCCUGAAUGUGCUGGGCAUGAGGGUUUCACCCUUCAAACCAGAGCGUUCGAGGACAGGACGGGCAGGGGGCUGCAGCCCAAGGAGCUGGGUGAGUGCCCGUUUUCUCCUUCUGCAGUUCAAGGUGAAACACUUCGUUUGCGCUCGUUUCCAACUCUGCCUCUCUCAAAAGCCGUGCCAGAUCAACAUCUGCAUUGUCCUCCCCCCAUGCCAGUGUGCCAGUGACCCCGAGGUUUCUGAACCACCCUCCCAUCUCCCCCUGUCUCUGCAGCAGGCCUUUGAGUUGUUUGGCAGGGAGUCUGUGCAGACAGCCAGCGUAACCAGCACUCUUGCCACCUGCUCACUGAAAAUCCUCCCGACUUCCCUGCAAACCCGCACCUGGGAUAAAACACAGCUCCUUGCAUCCUGUGAAGCCCGGAGGGCUUACAACCUGGAUUCAGGCUGCAAUUUAUCCACCAGCAAGACUCAGCUGUAUCCAGAGCAGAACACAACCUCUCCACUGACAUUUAGCUACAGCAGAGAGCCCCUGCUGCAAGAAAUGAGGACAAAUCCAACCGAAAUCACAGGCGUGCUUUGGGGAGGCUGAAUUUUCUUCCCUGGAAUUGAAAUUUGGUCAGGGUGCUGACACCAGCCAUGGAAUUUGU
Anas platyrhynchos (mallard) is the source of this 1043-nucleotide non-coding RNA. The record is from RefSeq and is a predicted model, not a curated record. NCBI's taxonomy places the organism in Eukaryota, Metazoa, Chordata, Aves, Anseriformes, Anatidae.